GGGUCUAUAGUGGUUGAAGCACCAACAAAUUUCAGCAUCUGUUAAAAGUAUACUCCUGUGGGUUUUCAGUGCCUUUACUCUGUGAAAUCAACUCUCAGAGGAGUUCUUACUUUUGGCAAGAGUAACUUCGAUGAAAAAUAUGAAGUCUCUUUGGUGGACUUCACAGAGACUGAUGAGCUUGUUCUUAAUCUGGUGUUUUUGGGUUGCU
RNAcentral lists this unclassified non-coding RNA (208 nucleotides) under Hevea brasiliensis (rubber tree). The record is from RNAcentral. Lineage: Eukaryota; Viridiplantae; Streptophyta; Magnoliopsida; Malpighiales; Euphorbiaceae.